AUUCCAAGAACAAGCAGAUAAAAAUCCGACUUCGAUCCAAUUCACAUCCUCUUUGUACUUUGUUUGCAUCCAGCAAUUGAACCAACAGUCGAGAGUAAUUACCGCGUGGCCUUGUUACCAGCACACAAAAACCUUGGUUUGUCUUCACUCUUCACAUUCAUCUUUUAGAUACAUCGUCCAUGAUUUCACAAGCCAACAAAAAUUUCAACUUGGGAAAUUGCCUUUUAUUUCAAACGUUUGAUCUUCUUUGCAGUAUCUACAAUGUUUUCGCUUAUCUCUGGGUGAUUGAGUUUCAAUAGUUUCUCAAGCUGGAGAGCAGCCUCAGGAAAGGAAUCCUCCUUCAUGCGAAGUUCUGAACAAAGACCAAAAAGAACUAUAUUGACGUCUUCCUC
RNAcentral lists this long non-coding RNA (392 nucleotides) under Jatropha curcas. RNAcentral describes it as "long non-coding RNA (JCUR_LNC001139)". Lineage: Eukaryota; Viridiplantae; Streptophyta; Magnoliopsida; Malpighiales; Euphorbiaceae. The record is from RNAcentral.